This 678-nucleotide long non-coding RNA is filed under the name Struthio camelus australis. Its description in RNAcentral is "lncRNA (ENSSCUG00000010713.1)". Lineage: Eukaryota; Metazoa; Chordata; Aves; Struthioniformes; Struthionidae. The record is from RNAcentral.
CCCUGCUCUGUCCCAAAAUGGUUCUGCAGAGAAAAUGAAAGUGUCUCGAGCAGGAGCAGAAAGCGCAUGUCAGGAUGGGCCCUGGACGUGAUGGAACGGUGCCUCAGGGAAAGAAAUAGCCACAGACUUGUGGGGCAGACGGCUUUUUGUGGAGGAGGAAACGCUAGAAAAGGCUUUGGAAUAAAGAGAGCACGAGUGUUGGCUGACACCAGGUUGGAAUCUCAAGCCUGGAUAGCGGGUUAAUAUUUCUGGAUGUGAAUUAUUCAAGAUUUCUGGAAUACCUGAAAAGAUAAAGAAUAUCCUUUUGGCUUUGCAGAUAUGGGAUAGCAGAACAAUUACUACUAUGGAAAUAGAAUCUUACCUGCUUUCUUACUUUUUUCAGAGUCCGUGCAAUACCUGCACAUACUUUGGAUAAAAAUCAUUCAGAUAUGUAUUUAAAUAUGUAGAGGCUGCUAAUUCUCUUUCUAGGAGAUAAUAUAUCAUUAUGGGAAUAUUCUGCAGAAUAUAAUAGAAGUUAGUAGACUGGAUAUAAUAGUGAAUUUAAAAAGAACUUGAUAGCGAUUUAUACUUUUUUAUAGAAAAUGAUUAAAAUGCUUUAUGGGAAGGGUUUAACUCGUUAUUGCUUCUUUAGCUUCUUACAGUAGAUUUCUGCAGAAGCCUUGUGUUUUCAGAGAGCUG